GUUUAUUGGAAUAAAAAACCAUAAAGGUUAUGAACAUUGUACUCCACAAUGUCUCCAUAAUGUACAGAUGUUGCUGGGAUGGUUUUGUUGUUAAUAGGUCGUCGAACGCCAGCAUUGUUGAUCUUGUACGGAGGAUCAUCAAGUUUAGAGAAAGGUGUGGGAGAAGGAUCUAUGAAGUUGGAUAUCUCAUUCAUGUCAAGCCAGAGACCAUCAAAGGGGAUAAGAUCUCGAAACGUUUUGAUCUCAUUUCUCCAGAACUCUCUACCACCCGGAUUUAGAAAGUCGGGGAAGUAGACUGAUCCAGGCCAGCCCCUCCCCAUGUAAGGAAUGCCACCAUGU
This 339-nucleotide unclassified non-coding RNA is filed under the name Hevea brasiliensis (rubber tree). Lineage: Eukaryota; Viridiplantae; Streptophyta; Magnoliopsida; Malpighiales; Euphorbiaceae. The record is from RNAcentral.